Molecule: non-coding RNA, 350 nt
Filed under: Scrippsiella hangoei
Lineage: Eukaryota; Dinophyceae; Peridiniales; Peridiniaceae
Source: RNAcentral
CAUCUCUGGGAGCAAGCUCCCUGUCUGCGCGCUGCGAAGCCGUGCUUCCCCUGCCCCCCGAAGCGAAGGCGUCGCUGCCAUUCACCAUCUCGAGAUCCAAAUGGGCAUCCAUCCAAGCUGUACAAUAGAUUGCAAAAUCGUCGCGCAAAUCGUCCAAUCCACUCACGGCGUCGGCCCAACAUCUAUAUCGACAACAUGCAGCGACGUUGAUCUGUCCAAGUCACAAGCUCCAACGCCCAAUUCAAAGCUUCCACGAAAGCUGCUUCAUGAGGGGGCAUGAGACGCUGCGACGAAAAGCCAGGUCGAAGCAAAGAAAGCUGCGCCAAGCACCACGCCUUCAUGGGAGGGGG